CGUUUAAGCGCCGUUGUGAGUGACUCUGAUAACUUCAUUUUGGCAUGGUGAAAAAAAAGACCCCCGCUGCAAAGUUCCGUGCAUGCGUGCGCUACGUCUGCUUACAGUAUGCAUGCAAUGGAUUGGAGUGCAGACUGCAGUCUAGGAGAGGGCAGUGCCCAGGCCAGAUAUGCCCAUAACCGCUCAAGGUUCCUUCCCGACCGCUCUUCGAGCAGCGUCCCCGCCUGGAGUCACUCUGGUCCCUUCCGUGAGUAAACUAAGCGCUCCGCUCACCUGUCUCUCUGGGGGCCACAAACUCAUUCACCGACCGGUGCAAAGAAGAGGGAGGGGCAAGGAAGGAGAAAAACGCGCGCGAGCCUCUAACUCAAACUGUUCGCCCUCGAACUCUCGUUGGAGUCCCGACUCUCAAGCGGGGAAGAAGAUUCCUCCCCCUUUCAAUUUCUGCACAUGGUUUGUUCCACACUGCUUCGAGAGUUUUGGAUUUGUGAAAGAACAGUGAAGAUGGAGGAGCUUCGCCAUCUGCUGUUUGGAGGCUAAUACAGGCGUANGGCGCUGUGAUGAUACCUUUAGUUAUAGAUUAUAAUGUAAUUUAAGGGAUUGCAGGAGAGUAUGAUUUAUUACAGUUUACCCAGGCAAAGAGACGGAAAGCAGUUGAGGCAAAGGAGAAAAAAGUGGUGAAGGAGAGCAAUGGACAGAGCUGUGUUGUGUAGGAGUACAUUUUCAUAGUGCUUAUCACAUACACACGUUUGCUGGCCAACACUAAAGCUGGAGUUGAUAGUGAAAACAAAGGUGUCAGAAGCAAGUAGAACGCCUCGUGAAGCGGUGCCAAUGCACUUUCCCUAAAAUCUUACAGAAAAAAAGCUUCGAUGCCUGUGAAUGGUGCAGGGAAUGUGAUUAUAGCUGUUUUAUAUUGGGAGUUGACCUAUGCAAUUCCUGGGCUCUGGGCAAAUGGGACCAGCCUCUGUCAACCUACUCAGACUCUCUCUCUGUAACACUGAAUAAAUUACUCCAAGGAAACUUCA
This 1022-nucleotide long non-coding RNA is filed under the name Salvator merianae (Argentine black and white tegu). RNAcentral's name for it is "lncRNA (ENSSMRG00000009698.1)". Lineage: Eukaryota; Metazoa; Chordata; Lepidosauria; Squamata; Teiidae. The record is from RNAcentral.